Small nucleolar RNA from Daucus carota subsp. sativus, 107 nucleotides. The record is from RefSeq and is a predicted model, not a curated record. NCBI's taxonomy places the organism in Eukaryota, Viridiplantae, Streptophyta, Magnoliopsida, Apiales, Apiaceae.
AUUCCAUGGUGAGGACAUUGCCUUUGAAGGCGUUUGAAUCUUUUCCAAGCAUCAUGUAGUGAUUCAUCGUCUUCUUGACGAAAAGUAGAUAUGUCAUUCCUUAGCUU